GACGUAGGGCGCGAGCGUUGUCCGGAUUUAUUGGGCGUAAAGCGCGCGCAGGCGGCUCGGAAAGUCGGGUGUGAAAACUCGGGGCUCAACCCCGGGCGUGCAUCCGAUACUGCCGGGCUUGAGGCAGGUAGGGGAGAUCGGAAUUCCUGGUGUAGCGGUGAAAUGCGCAGAUAUCAGGAGGAACACCGGUGGCGAAGGCGGAUCUCUGGGCCUGUCCUGACGCUGAGGCGCGAAAGCUAGGGGAGCGAACAGG
Molecule: ribosomal RNA, 253 nt
Filed under: uncultured bacterium
Lineage: Bacteria
Description: partial 16S ribosomal RNA
Rfam family: Bacterial small subunit ribosomal RNA
Source: RNAcentral